GAGUUUGAUCGUGGCUCAGGACGAACGCUGGCGGCGCGCCUAACACAUGCAAGUCGAACGGAGUUAUUCUGAAUGAAGUUUUCGGAUGGAUUUUGGAUUAACUUAGUGGCGAACGGGUGAGUAACGCGUGAGUAACCUGCCCUGGAGUGGGGGACAACAGUUAGAAAUGACUGCUAAUACCGCAUAAGCACACGUGAUCGCAUGAUCGAGUGUGAAAAACUCCGGUGGUAUGAGAUGGACCCCCGCGUCUGAUUAGCUAGUUGGUGGGUAAUGGCCCACCAAGGCGACGAUCAGUAGCCGGCCUGAGAGGGUGAACGGCCACAUUGGGACUGAGACACGGCCCAAACUCCUACGGGAGGCAGCAGUGGGAAUAUUGCACAAUGGGGGAAACCCUGAUGCAGCGACGCCGCGUGAAGGAUGAAGUAUUUCGG
Molecule: ribosomal RNA, 431 nt
Filed under: uncultured bacterium
Lineage: Bacteria
Description: bacterial SSU rRNA
Rfam family: Bacterial small subunit ribosomal RNA
Source: RNAcentral